This 459-nucleotide ribosomal RNA is filed under the name uncultured bacterium. RNAcentral describes it as "partial 16S ribosomal RNA". It matches the Rfam family "Bacterial small subunit ribosomal RNA", at positions 338 to 795 of the family's 1533-position model. The record is from RNAcentral.
CCUACGGGAGGCAGCAGUGAGGAAUAUUGGUCAAUGGCCGGAAGGCUGAACCAGCCAAGCCGCGUGAAGGACGAAGGUGCUAAGCAUUGUAAACUUCUUUUGUCAGGGGACAAAUUCAGGCUCGUGAGCCUGUAUGAGGGUACUUGAAGAAAAAGCAUCGGCUAACUCCGUGCCAGCAGCCGCGGUAAUACGGAGGAUGCGAGCGUUAUCCGGAUUUAUUGGGUUUAAAGGGUGCGGGGGCGGACUGUUAAGUCAGCGGUAAAAGCCCGGGGCUCAACCCCGGCGAGCCGUUGAAACUGGCUGUCGUGAGAGGGCGAGAGGUAUGCGGAAUGCGCGGUGUAGCGGUGAAAUGCUUAGAUAUCGCGCAGAACUCCGAUUGCGAAGGCAGCAUACCGGCGGCGAACUGACGCUGAGGCACGAAAGCGUGGGUAUCGAACAGGAUUAGAUACCCUUGUAGUC